This 439-nucleotide ribosomal RNA is filed under the name uncultured maize root bacterium Zmrc173. RNAcentral's name for it is "bacterial SSU rRNA". It matches the Rfam family "Bacterial small subunit ribosomal RNA", at positions 1024 to 1463 of the family's 1533-position model. The record is from RNAcentral.
GAACUCGAACACAGGUGCUGCAUGGCUGUCGUCAGCUCGUGUCGUGAGAUGUUGGGUUAAGUCCCGCAACGAGCGCAACCCUUGUCCUUAGUUGCCAGCAUUAAGUUGGGCACUCUAAGGAGACCGCCGGUGACAAACCGGAGGAAGGUGGGGAUGACGUCAAGUCAUCAUGGCCUUUAUGGCCAGGGCUACACACGUGCUACAAUGGUAAGUACAGAGGGAAGCCAAGUCGCGAGACGGAGCCAAUCCCAGAAAACUUAUCGUAGUCCGGAUCGGAGUCUGCAACUCGACUCCGUGAAGUCGGAAUCGCUAGUAAUCGCAGAUCAGCAUUGCUGCGGUGAAUACGUUCCCGGGUCUUGUACACACCGCCCGUCACACCAUGGGAGUUGAUUGCACCAGAAGCAGGUAGCCUGACCGCAAGGGGGGCGCCUACCACGGC